Coturnix japonica (Japanese quail) is the source of this 533-nucleotide long non-coding RNA. The record is from Ensembl. Lineage: Eukaryota; Metazoa; Chordata; Aves; Galliformes; Phasianidae.
AGGUAAUAAAAGGUUUUUGACUAAGGCAUUAUUGUGCCAAAUCCAAAUGGCUGAAUCCUGUUAAUUUUGCAGUCUGGCUGUUCUGCAGUGUGAGGGAGGCAAGGCACAUGCAGGGCUACAGGGCGGCACAACCUGCCCCUCCCAAGCUCUGUACACACCAUGAUGAUAAAGAGAUGAAACCAGCAGCACCUGCAUGAGGGACACCCAACAGACAAAGCGAGCAUCUCCACCAACAAGCCACAAACCUGGUCUGAAACAAGUAAGUGUGGAAGCAGUUUUUAACCGCCAUCACAACACAGAGAUGGAAGCUGUGGUGGACCUUUAAACAUUUUUCCUUAUUAAGCAAGUCUCCUCACACCAGCACAGUCUGUGGUAAUUUCUGCCCUCAUUGUGGACUAUUUCUGUACACUCCCUAAAGGCAUCAAGCCAUUCAGGUAGUAGCAUGUAAUUUGUUUUGUACUGUGGAAUUCCUGCCAUGCCUAUAUGUAUUUAGACCACAGGCAAACCAAUAAAGUUGUCAUAGAAACAAAGCA